UGGGGAAUCUUGCACAAUGGGGGAAACCCUGAUGCAGCGACGCCGCGUGAUUUAGAAGGCCUUCGGGUUGUAAAAAUCUUUUCUAUGGGAAGAAAAUGACAGUACCAUAGGAAUAAGGACCGGCUAAUUACGUGCCAGCAGCCGCGGUAAUACGUAAGGUCCGAGCGUUGUCCGGAAUCAUUGGGCGUAAAGGGUACGUAGGCGGGUAAGCAAGUUAGAAGUGAAAUCCUAUAGCUCAGCUAUAGUAAGCUUUUAAAACUGCUCAUCUUGAGGUAUGGAAGGGAAAGUGGAAUUCCUAGUGUAGCGGUGAAGUGCGCAGAUAUUAGGAGGAGUACCGGUGGCGAAGGCGACUUUCUGGCCAUAACCUGACGCUGAGGUACGAAAGCGUGGGUAGCAAACAGG
Molecule: ribosomal RNA, 402 nt
Filed under: bacterium
Lineage: Bacteria
Description: partial 16S ribosomal RNA
Rfam family: Bacterial small subunit ribosomal RNA
Source: RNAcentral